Molecule: long non-coding RNA, 329 nt
Organism: Acanthopagrus latus (yellowfin seabream)
Lineage: Eukaryota; Metazoa; Chordata; Actinopteri; Spariformes; Sparidae
Exons: 3
Source: RefSeq, a predicted model, not a curated record
GGAAAUGUACUUCAUGGACAACAUUACAGAGCUGAGAGGGGAAAAGACGAGAGAGAAGUAGUCUCCAGCCAGUAGGCUACUGAAUUUACCAAGAGCUGUGCUGAAUUCAACCACGUGGACACACUGUCACAGUUUGGUGACUGCCGUGCCCUGAUCCCAGUGUCUCUCCAGCUGCACCUCAUCCCCUCCCGUGGACUCCAUCUCAGUAUGAUCAGCAGUCUGAGCAAGUCUGCACCCUGCUGGUUUCACUUUAGCUUCCCCCUGUCCCUUUAAACACUUCCUUCUCCUGUUACCAUAAAGCUGCUAGGAGAGCCUCACUGUAAAAGUCA